UAUAUCGCUGUCUCAGCUCGUUAAUAUCCUCGGUAUCAAUUUAAAAUCAUGUUUUUCUAUUGUAGUUUAUCCAAUUACGUAUGAAAACACUAAUUAUAUAAUAAUUCUCUGCUUAUUUUUUAAGUGCCUCUAGGAUAUAGGUCUUAGGAGAGGCAAAAUCUCCACUUUUUGGUCGGUUUUUCGGAUAUAUCCUUGUCUCAGUUCCUUAAUAUCCUCGGUAUCAAUUUAAAAUUAUGUUUUUCUAUUGUAGUUUAUCCAAUUACGUAUGAAAACACUAAUUUUAUAAUAAUUCUCUGCUUAUUUUUAAAGUGCGUCCAGGAUAUAAGUCUUAGGAGAGGCAAAAUCUCCACUUUUUGGUCGGUUUUUCGGAUAUAUCCUUGUCUCAGUUCCUUAAUAUCCUCGGUAUCAAUUUAAAAUUAUGUUUUUCUAUUGUAGUUUAUCCAAUUACGUAUGAAAACACUAAUUUUAUAAUAAU
Molecule: long non-coding RNA, 475 nt
Organism: Anthonomus grandis grandis
Lineage: Eukaryota; Metazoa; Arthropoda; Insecta; Coleoptera; Curculionidae
Exons: 3
Source: RefSeq, a predicted model, not a curated record